RNAcentral lists this ribosomal RNA (485 nucleotides) under uncultured bacterium. RNAcentral describes it as "partial 16S ribosomal RNA". It matches the Rfam family "Bacterial small subunit ribosomal RNA", at positions 30 to 506 of the family's 1533-position model. The record is from RNAcentral.
AUUGAACGCUGGCGGCAUGCCUUACACAUGCAAGUCGAACGGCAGCACGGGUGCUUGCACCUGGUGGCGAGUGGCGAACGGGUGAGUAAUACAUCGGAACAUGUCCUGUAGUGGGGGAUAGCCCGGCGAAAGCCGGAUUAAUACCGCAUACGAUCCACGGAUGAAAGCGGGGGACCUUCGGGCCUCGCGCUAUAGGGUUGGCCGCUGGCUGAUUAGCUAGUUGGUGGGGUAAAGGCCUACCAAGGCGACGAUCAGUAGCUGGUCUGAGAGGACGACCAGCCACACUGGGACUGAGACACGGCCCAGACUCCUACGGGAGGCAGCAGUGGGGAAUUUUGGACAAUGGGCGAAAGCCUGAUCCAGCAAUGCCGCGUGUGUGAAGAAGGCCUUCGGGUUGUAAAGCACUUUUGUCCGGAAAGAAAUCCUUGACUCUAAUACAGUCGGGGGAUGACGGUACCGGAAGAAUAAGCACCGGCUAACUACGU